RNAcentral lists this ribosomal RNA (460 nucleotides) under uncultured bacterium. Its description in RNAcentral is "partial 16S ribosomal RNA". It matches the Rfam family "Bacterial small subunit ribosomal RNA", at positions 338 to 795 of the family's 1533-position model. The record is from RNAcentral.
CCUACGGGUGGCAGCAGUGAGGAAUAUUGGUCAAUGGACGAGAGUCUGAACCAGCCAAGUAGCGUGAAGGAUGACUGCCCUAUGGGUUGUAAACUUCUUUUAUAAAGGAAUAAAAUGAUGCACGUGUGGCUUUUUGCAUGUACUUUAUGAAUAAGGAUCGGCUAACUCCGUGCCAGCAGCCGCGGUAAUACGGAGGAUCCGAGCGUUAUCCGGAUUUAUUGGGUUUAAAGGGAGCGUAGGUGGGUUGUUAAGUCAGUUGUGAAAGUUUGCGGCUCAACCGUAAAAUUGCAAUUGAAACUGGCAGUCUUGAGUACAGUAGAGGUAGGCGGAAUUCGUGGUGUAGCGGUGAAAUGCUUAGAUAUCACGAAGAACUCCGAUUGCGAAGGCAGCUUACUAGACUGUAACUGACACUGAGGCUCGAAAGUGUGGGUAUCAAACAGGAUUAGAUACCCGAGUAGUC